ACUGCUCAACAGAAAGCUCCAGACAGAGCAAUCAGACAGAGGCUUUGAAUCUGACUGGACUUGAGACAGCAGUCAGGAGUACAGGUCAUCAAUACGCUCUGUGUGUAAUGUGUGUCGUGAGGAGGUCAUCAAUACGCUCUGUGUGUAAUGUGUGUCGUGAGGAGGUCAUCAAUACGCUCUGUGUGUAGUGUCGUGAGGAGAUCAUCAAUACGCUCUGUGUGUAGUGUAGUGUCGUGAGGAGGUCAUCAAUACGCUCAGUGUGUAGUGUGUGUCGUGAGGAGUUCAUCAAUAUGCUCGGUGUGUAAUGUGUGUCGUGAGGAGGUCAUCAAUAUGCUCGGUGUGUAAUGUGUGUCGUGAGGAGGUCAUCAUUAUGCUCGGUGUGUAGUGUGUCGUGAGGAGGUCAUCAAUACGCUCAGUGUGUAAUGUGUGUCGUGAGGAGGUCAUCAAUACGCUCUGUGUGUAAUGUAGUGUGUGUCGUGAGGAGGUCAUCAAUACGCUCUGUGUGUAAUGUAGUGUGUGUCGUGAGGAGGUCAUCAAUACGCUCUGUGUGUAAUGUAGUGUGUGUCGUGAGGAGGUCAUCAAUACGCUCGUGUGUAAUGUAGUGUGUGUCGUGAGGAGGUCAUCAAUAUGCUCUGUGUGUAGUGUGUGUCGUGAGGAGGUCAUCAAUACGUUCUGUGUGUAGUGUGUGUCGUGAGGAGGUCAUCAAUACGCUCUGUGUGUAAUGUAGUGUGUGUCGUGAGGAGGUCAUCAAUACGCUCUGUGUGUAAUGUAGUGUGUGUUGUGAGGAGGUCAUCAAUACGCUCUGUAUGUAAUGUAGUGUGUGUCGUGAGGAGGGCAUCAAUCCGCUCUGUGUGUAAUGUAGUGUCGUGAAGAGGUCAUCAUUAUGCUCGUUGUGUAAUGUGUGUCGUGAGGAGGUCAUCAUUAUGCUCGGUGUGUAAUGUGUGUUGUGAGGUCAUCAAUACGCUCUGUGUGUAAUGUAGUGUGUGUCGUGAGGAGGUCAUCAAUACGCUCUGUGUGUAAUGUAGUGUGUGUCGUGAGGAGGUCAUCAAUAUGCUCGGUGUGUAGUGUGUGUCGUGCGGAGGUCAUCAAUACGCUCUGUGUGUAGUGUGUGUCGUGAGGAGGUCAUCAAUACGCUCUGUGUGUAAUGUAGUGUGUGUCGUGAGGAGGUCAUCAAUAUGCACGGUGUGUAGUGUAGUGUGUGUCGUGAGGAGGUCAUCAAUAUGCUCGGUGUGUAAUGUGUGUCGUGAGGAGGUCAUCAUUAUGCUCGGUGUGUAAUGUGUGUCGUGAGGAGGUCAUCAAUACGCUCAGUGUGUAAUGUGUGUCGUGAGGAGGUCAUCAAUACGCUCUGUGUGUAAUGUGUGUCGUGAGGAGGUCAUCAAUACGCUCUGUGUGUAAUGUAGUGUGUGUCGUGAGGAGGUCAUCAUUAUGCUCGGUGUGUAAUGUGUGUCGUGAGGAGGUCAUCAAUACGCUCAGUGUGUAAUGUGUGUCGUGAGGAGGUCAUCAAUACGCUCUGUGUGUAAUGUAGUGUGUGUCGUGAGGAGGUCAUCAAUACGCUCUGUGUGUAAUGUAGUGUGUGUCGUGAGGAGGUCAUCAAUAUGCUCGGUGUGUAGUGUGUGUCGUGAGGAGGUCAUCAAUACGCUCGGUGUGUAGUGUGUGUCGUGAGGAGGUCAUCAAUACGCUCUGUGUGUAAUGUAGUGUGUGUCGUGAGGUCAUCAAUACGCUCUGUGUGUAAUGUAGUGUGUGUUGUGAGGAGGUCAUCAAUACGCUCUGUGUGUAAUGUAGUGUGUGUUGUGAGGUCAUCAAUACGCUCUGUAUGUAAUGUAGUGUGUGUCGUGAGGAGGGCAUCAAUCCGCUCUGUGUGUAAUGUAGUGUCGUGAAGAGGUCAUCAUUAUGCUCGUUGUGUAAUGUGUGUCGUGAGGAGGUCAUCAUUAUGCUCGGUGUGUAAUGUGUGUCGUGAGGUCAUCAAUACGCUCUGUGUGUAAUGUAGUGUGUGUCGUGAGGAGGUCAUCAAUACGCUCUGUGUGUAAUGUAGUGUGUGUCGUGAGGAGGUCAUCAAUAUGCUCGGUGUGUAGUGUGUGUCGUGCGGAGGUCAUCAAUAUGCUCGGUGUGUAAUGUGUGUCGUGAGGAGGUCAUCAAUAUGCUCGGUGUGUAAUGUGUGUCGUGAGGAGGUCAUCAAUAUGCUCAGUGUGUAAUGUGUGUCGUGAGGAGGUCAUCAAUAUGCUCGGUGUGUAAUGUGUGUCGUGAGGAGGUCAUCAAUAUGCUCGGGGUGUAAUGUGUGUCGUGAGGAGGUCAUCAAUACGCUCUGUGUGUAAUGUAGUGUGUGUCAUGAGGAGGUCAUCAAUACGCUCUGUGUGUAAUGUGUGUCGUGAGGAGGUCAUCAAUAUGCUCGGGGUGUAAUGUGUGUCGUGAGGAGGUCAUCAAUAUGCUCGGUGUGUAAUGUGUGUCGUGAGGAGGUCAUCAAUAUGCUCGGUGUGUAAUGUGUGUCGUGAGGAGGUCAUCAAUAUGCUCGGUGUGUAAUGUGUGUCGUGAGGAGGUCAUCAAUAUGCUCUGUGUGUAAUGUAGUGUCGUGAGGAGGUCAUCAUUAUGCUCGGUGUGUAAUGUGUGUCGUGAGGAGGUCAUCAAUAUGCUCGGUGUGUAA
Long non-coding RNA from Oncorhynchus keta (chum salmon), 2638 nucleotides. RefSeq lists it as uncharacterized. The transcript has 3 exons. NCBI's taxonomy places the organism in Eukaryota, Metazoa, Chordata, Actinopteri, Salmoniformes, Salmonidae. The record is from RefSeq and is a predicted model, not a curated record.